Molecule: ribosomal RNA, 1309 nt
Filed under: metagenome
Description: bacterial LSU rRNA
Rfam family: Bacterial large subunit ribosomal RNA
Source: RNAcentral
ACUGCCAAGAAAAGCUUCUAGUGAGAAAGUAACUGCCCGUACCGCAGACCGACACAGGUAGUUGAGGAGAGAAUCCUAAGGUGUGCGAGAGAACUCUCGUUAAGGAACUCGGCAAAAUGACCCCGUAACUUCGGGAGAAGGGGUGCUGACCGCAAGGUCAGCCGCAGUGAAUAGGCCCAAGCGACUGUUUAUCAAAAACACAGGUCUCUGCAAAAUCGAAAGAUGACGUAUAGGGGCUGACGCCUGCCCGGUGCUGGAAGGUUAAGAGGAGAGGUUAGCGCAAGCGAAGCUUUGAAUUGAAGCCCCAGUAAACGGCGGCCGUAACUAUAACGGUCCUAAGGUAGCGAAAUUCCUUGUCGGGUAAGUUCCGACCCGCACGAAAGGCGUAACGAUUUGGGCACUGUCUCAACGAGAGACUCGGUGAAAUUAUAGUACCAGUGAAGAUGCUGGUUACCCGCGACAGGACGGAAAGACCCCAUGGAGCUUUACUGCAGUUUGAUAUUGCGUGUUUGUAUCACAUGUACAGGAUAGGUAGGAGCCGAAGAUACCGGGACGCCAGUCUCGGAGGAGGCAACGGUGGGAUACUACCCUUGUGAUAUGACCACUCUAACCCGCUGCUCUUAGCGAGCAGGGAGACAGUGUCAGACGGGCAGUUUGACUGGGGCGGUCGCCUCCAAAAAUGUAACGGAGGCGCCCAAAGGUUCCCUCAGAAUGGUUGGAAAUCAUUCGUAGAGUGUAAAGGCAGAAGGGAGCUUGACUGCGAGACCUACAAGUCGAGCAGGGACGAAAGUCGGGCUUAGUGAUCCGGUGGUUCCGCAUGGAAGGGCCAUCGCUCAACGGAUAAAAGCUACCCUGGGGAUAACAGGCUUAUCUCCCCCAAGAGUUCACAUCGACGGGGAGGUUUGGCACCUCGAUGUCGGCUCAUCGCAUCCUGGGGCUGUAGUCGGUCCCAAGGGUUGGGCUGUUCGCCCAUUAAAGCGGUACGCGAGCUGGGUUCAGAACGUCGUGAGACAGUUCGGUCCCUAUCCGUCGCGGGCGUUGGAAAUUUGAGAGGAGCUGUCCUUAGUACGAGAGGACCGGGAUGGACACACCGCUGGUGUACCAGUUGUUCUGCCAAGAGCAUCGCUGGGUAGCUAUGUGUGGACGGGAUAAACGCUGAAAGCAUCUAAGCGUGAAGCCCCCCUCAAGAUGAGAUUUCCCAUCACUUUAAGUGAGUAAGACCCCUGAGAGAUGAUCAGGUAGAUAGGUUGGGAGUGGAAGUACAGCGAUGUAUGGAGCGGACCAAUACUAAUCGGUCGAGGACUUAAUC